UACACACUUCGGUUUACGAGGACCGGAUAGAACAAACCGUACGUGGUUUACGAGGACCGGGUAAAAACAAGCCUUACGUGGUUUACGAGGACCGGUUAAAACUAAGCACACAUGGUUUACAAGGUCCAAGUUGAGCUAUCGCAUAUCUUUUAAGAUAUGUCAUAUGUGAUAUAUUUAUUUAGCGUUAGAGAGAUCACCAUGUUGAGGUCGAGAGUUCUCUGAUUUCUGACCGUGGUUGCCUGUCAGCACAUCAUUUGGGUUAAUUUAGCAAUACGUCUCUUCAGUAAAAUAAUUAAAAAUGAAUACACUUUUGCGCUAUGCGGGAUUGCUUUUUUUUUUUAAUAAAACCCUGGCAGCUACAGUAAAAACCUACAAUGAUUUGACUUUUUUUAUUUUUGUGUUUUCACUCACGGGAACCCUGCGUCUAUUUUUCGCGCGUUUUGCUCUUGCAACUCGCGGCCAUCAGCCAACACGGUGGUUUGGCAAAUGUUUUGCCUUUUUUUUCGUCGUGAAAACCAAGAAAGAUCGACACACUAUAAUAUAAAGAUGUACAAACGAUGGAUAGAAGGAUAAACAAUGGAAUUUGAAAGAAGGUGAAUCUCACUUACAAGAUAGACUCCGAGAAAGCUACCAGCUUAGAAGCAUGAUGCUAGGGCAGGAUUUAUGUAAGGCAAUUGUAUUAAUGCAGCUCAGCAAAAAUUAACACAACCUGAGUAACAAACAGAUAGAUAAUAAUUUUACAAAUGAAAAUUUUC
Molecule: long non-coding RNA, 755 nt
Organism: Nematostella vectensis (starlet sea anemone)
Lineage: Eukaryota; Metazoa; Cnidaria; Anthozoa; Actiniaria; Edwardsiidae
Exons: 2
Source: RefSeq, a predicted model, not a curated record